GGUCGGAUGAUUAUUGCGAAUU
RNAcentral lists this microRNA (22 nucleotides) under Strongyloides ratti. Its description in RNAcentral is "str-miR-7880v-5p". Lineage: Eukaryota; Metazoa; Nematoda; Chromadorea; Rhabditida; Strongyloididae. The record is from miRBase by way of RNAcentral.